UGGAAGUAAAAAGUCGUAACAAGGUCUCCGUUG
This 33-nucleotide ribosomal RNA is filed under the name Ophiocordyceps xuefengensis. Its description in RNAcentral is "partial 18S ribosomal RNA". The record is from RNAcentral. Lineage: Eukaryota; Fungi; Ascomycota; Sordariomycetes; Hypocreales; Ophiocordycipitaceae.